Molecule: ribosomal RNA, 406 nt
Filed under: uncultured bacterium
Lineage: Bacteria
Description: partial 16S ribosomal RNA
Rfam family: Bacterial small subunit ribosomal RNA
Source: RNAcentral
AUUGAACGCUGGCGGCAGGCCUAACACAUGCAAGUCGAACGAGUGGCGGACGGGUGAGUAAUGUCUGGGACACUGCCUGAUGGAGGGGGAUAACUACUGGAAACGUUAGCUAAUACCGCAUACCAUCAGAUGUGCCCAGAUGGGAUUAGCUAUUUGGGGGGGUAACGGCUAACCAGGGCGACGAUCCCUAGCUGGUCUGAGAGGAGGACCAGCCACACUGGAACUGAUACACGGUCCAGACGCCUACGGGAGGCAGCAGUGGGGAAUAUUGCACAAUGGGCGAAAGCCUGAUGCAGCCAUGCCGCGGGUAUGAAGAAGGCCUUCGGGUUGUAAAGUACUUUCAGCGGGGAGGCGUUACCCGCAGAAGAAGCACCGGCUAACUCCGUGCCAGCAGCCGCGGUAAUUC